AGGCUUUCGCCCACACUGCUGCCUCCCGUAGGAGUCUGGACCGUGUCUCAGUUCCAGUGUGACUGAUCAUCCUCUCAGACCAGUUACGGAUCGUCGCCUUGGUGAGCCAUUACCUCACCAACUAGCUAAUCCGACCUAGGCUCAUCCGAUAGCGCAAGGCCCGAAGGUCCCCUGCUUUCUCCCGUAGGACGUAUGCGGUAUUAGCGCCCGUUUCCGGACGUUAUCCCCCACUACCGGGCAGAUUCCUAGGCAUUACUCACCCGUCCGCCGCUGAAUCAUGGAGCAAGCUCCACUCAUCCGCUCGACUGCAUG
RNAcentral lists this ribosomal RNA (312 nucleotides) under Ectopseudomonas mendocina. RNAcentral describes it as "Pseudomonas mendocina partial 16S ribosomal RNA". The record is from RNAcentral. Lineage: Bacteria; Pseudomonadati; Pseudomonadota; Gammaproteobacteria; Pseudomonadales; Pseudomonadaceae.